RNAcentral lists this transfer RNA (76 nucleotides) under Salmonella enterica subsp. enterica serovar Enteritidis. RNAcentral describes it as "tRNA-Lys". It matches the Rfam family "tRNA". From Rfam's summary of the family: Transfer RNA (tRNA) molecules are approximately 80 nucleotides in length. Their secondary structure includes four short double-helical elements and three loops (D, anti-codon, and T loops). RNAcentral also lists the same sequence under 2 other names. The record is from RNAcentral. Lineage: Bacteria; Pseudomonadati; Pseudomonadota; Gammaproteobacteria; Enterobacterales; Enterobacteriaceae.
GUGUCGUUAGCUCAAUUGGUAGAGCACCGGACUUUUAAUCCGGGGGUUUAGGGUUCGAGGCCCUAACGACACACCA